GAUGUUGGAAAACUACUAGCUUGGAAAACUACUAGCUGGAUAGACAGGACCUGAGUAACAGAAAAUUAAAGGAGGAGAAGUUAAACAAUUAACAGCAUACAUAUAUAAGCCAGUAACAAUUUAUAUAUAGCCAGCAUGAAAAAAAUAUAUGUCACACACAUUGCAAGAAUAUCCUGCACAAAUUAAAAGGACAACUCGUAACAUGCCUUAGGGAGUGCGUGAAGAAUGUAUUGAGGAAGAUCUGGCACCCCCCCCUCCAUACUCUUUGUCUAACAAAGACUGAAGAAAAUCACCAUAUCAGUACGAAUGAGAAGGGUACUGAGACAUCUUGGAGACAACAGGACUGCUACUGACUGACACCAGAUAACGCACGAAUUAACAAAUCUUACGGAUCCUGUGUUUUCUGAGACUGGAUAAUUACUCAUAGUCCUACUCUGAAGAGAUUUAGAAGCUCUGAUUUAUUUCUCCUUGGCUGCUUCCAGGACGUACUCAAGGUAGUGCUGGAGAGUGAAC
RNAcentral lists this long non-coding RNA (513 nucleotides) under Gallus gallus (chicken). The record is from RNAcentral. Lineage: Eukaryota; Metazoa; Chordata; Aves; Galliformes; Phasianidae.